UGUGACGAGUUUGAUCAUGGCUCAGAUUGAACGCUGGCGGAAUGCUUUACACAUGCAAGUCGAACGGUAGAGGGGGCAACCCCUUGAGAGUGGCGAACGGGUGAGUAAUAUAUCGGAACGUGCCCAGUCGUGGGGGAUAACGUAGCGAAAGUUACGCUAAUACCGCAUACGAUCUCAGGAUGAAAGCAGGGGACCGCAAGGCCUUGCGCUCACGGAGCGGCCGAUGGCAGAUUAGGUAGUUGGUGGGAUAAAAGCUUACCAAGCCGACGAUCUGUAGCUGGUCUGAGAGGACGACCAGCCACACUGGGACUGAGACACGGCCCAGACUCCUACGGGAGGCAGCAGUGGGGAAUUUUGGACAAUGGGCGCAAGCCUGAUCCAGCCAUGCCGCGUGCAGGAUGAAGGCCUUCGGGUUGUAAACUGCUUUUGUACGGAACGAAAAGACUCCUUCUAAUAAAGGGGGUCCAUGACGGUACCGUAAGAAUAAGCACCGGCUAACUACGUG
RNAcentral lists this ribosomal RNA (505 nucleotides) under uncultured bacterium. RNAcentral's name for it is "bacterial SSU rRNA". It matches the Rfam family "Bacterial small subunit ribosomal RNA", at positions 1 to 507 of the family's 1533-position model. The record is from RNAcentral.